RNAcentral lists this ribosomal RNA (464 nucleotides) under Haptophyta environmental samples. RNAcentral describes it as "SSU rRNA". It matches the Rfam family "Eukaryotic small subunit ribosomal RNA", at positions 432 to 900 of the family's 1831-position model. The record is from RNAcentral. Lineage: Eukaryota; Haptophyta.
GCGCGUAAAUUGCCCGAAUCCUGACACAGGGAGGUAGUGACAAGAAAUGACAAUACAGGGCUUCUAAAGUCUUGUAAUUGGAAUGAGUACAAUUUACAUCUCUUCACGAGGAUCAAUUGGAGGGCAAGUCUGGUGCCAGCAGCCGCGGUAAUUCCAGCUCCAAUAGCGUAUAUUAAAGUUGUUGCAGUUAGAACGCUCGUAGUCGGAUUUCGGGGCGGGCCGACCGGUCUGCCGAUGGGUACGCACUGGUCGGCGCGUCCUUCCUUCCGGAGACCGUGCCUACUCUUAACUGAGCGGGGGCGGGAGACGGAUCGUUUACUUUGAAAAAAUCAGAGUGUUUCAAGCAGGCAGCUCGCUCUUGCAUGGAUUAGCAUGGGAUAAUGAAAUAGGACUUUGGUGCUAUUUUGUUGGUUUCGAACACCGAAGUAAUGAUUAACAGGGACAGUCAGGGGCACUCGUAUUCC